AGGUUUAAAGUUAAAAUUUACUAUUAAUCUUCAAAAUUAAAAAUAUAAAUUAAUAAAACUUA
This 62-nucleotide transfer RNA is filed under the name Hormaphis betulae. RNAcentral describes it as "tRNA-Trp". The record is from RNAcentral. Lineage: Eukaryota; Metazoa; Arthropoda; Insecta; Hemiptera; Hormaphididae.